UACAGAGGUCUCAAGCGUUGUUCGGAUUCAUUGGGCGUAAAGGGUGCGUAGGUGGCGCUGUAAGUCGGGUGUGAAAUUUCGGAGCUUAACUCCGAAACUGCAUUCGAUACUGCGGGGCUUGAGGACUGGAGAGGAGACUGGAAUUCAUGGUGUAGCAGUGAAAUGCGUAGAGAUCAUGAGGAAGACCAGUGGCGAAGGCGGGUCUCUGGACAGUUCCUGACGCUGAGGCACGAAGGCCAGGGGAGCAAACGGG
Molecule: ribosomal RNA, 253 nt
Filed under: uncultured bacterium
Lineage: Bacteria
Description: partial 16S ribosomal RNA
Rfam family: Bacterial small subunit ribosomal RNA
Source: RNAcentral